RNAcentral lists this ribosomal RNA (201 nucleotides) under Helotiales sp. Its description in RNAcentral is "partial large subunit ribosomal RNA". It matches the Rfam family "Eukaryotic large subunit ribosomal RNA", at positions 82 to 279 of the family's 3401-position model. Lineage: Eukaryota; Fungi; Ascomycota; Leotiomycetes; Helotiales. The record is from RNAcentral.
AGUAACGGCGAGUGAAGCGGCAACAGCUCAAAUUUGAAAUCUGGCUCUUCUAGGGUCCGAGUUGUAAUUUGUAGAAGAUGCUUCGGGUGUGGCUCCGGUCUAAGUUCCUUGGAACAGGACGUCAUAGAGGGUGAGAAUCCCGUAUGUGACUGGGUGCCUUCGCCUAUAUGAAGCUCUUUCGACGAGUCGAGUUGUUUGGGA